Molecule: non-coding RNA, 414 nt
Organism: Castor canadensis (American beaver)
Lineage: Eukaryota; Metazoa; Chordata; Mammalia; Rodentia; Castoridae
Source: the annotation of a RefSeq genome assembly
AUGCCGAGUCAGUCUCAGUCAGGGCAGACCAUAGACCUGAAGGCUCCUGCUCACCUCCUUGUGCUUCUACUACUCUGGUUUCCAGGUACACAAUGUGACAUCCAGAUGACCCAGUCUUCAUCCUCCCUGGCUGCCACUACUGGAGAAAGAGUCACCAUCACUUGCCAGGCAAGUCAGGGCAUUAACAAAUGGUUAGCCUGGUACCAGAAGAAAGCAGGGAAUGCUGCUAAGCUCCUUAUUUAUAAAGCAUCCGACUUGCAAUCCAGGGUCCCAUCGAGGUUCAGUGGCAGUGGAUCUGGGACAGAUUUCACUCUAACAAUCAGCAACCUGGAUCCUGAAGACACUGCAACUUAUUACUGUCAACGGUAUGACAGCUACCCUCGGUCUUUUGGGCCAGGCAACUUCACUCGGAAU